Molecule: non-coding RNA, 1206 nt
Organism: Nothobranchius furzeri (turquoise killifish)
Lineage: Eukaryota; Metazoa; Chordata; Actinopteri; Cyprinodontiformes; Nothobranchiidae
Source: RefSeq, a predicted model, not a curated record
UCAGGGUCUGCAUCCUACGUCGGCCGGAUUCGUCGGCCGGUUACGUCACAGCGCCGCGACUAGGCCUGUCCCAAUUCGAAGACUCUUUCAAAUGCGGUCGACGAAUGCGGCCAUCUUUUCGCCUGAAUGAAGGAUGGGUCCGGUGUAUCCUUCAACAGGUAGCAUUUCCCAAGAUGCCUUGCGGGCCGGCCAGCAGAAAAACUAAAAACAAUGGCGGACAGUGAAGCGGGAGCUGUCGGAGAGGAUUGUGCAUAUAAAUGAACAAAAGAGAAAACCAGGGAAUUUAUUAAGCUUAGGGCGGAGAUGGACCACAUGAUCACUGGAGCAAAGUAUUCGGCGGCUGUGGCAUGGAGACUAUUCUGGAGAAAAUGGGCAUCCAGGGGAAGGUGACAGCGAUGACCAGCUUCUGGAUCUGAUCAGGGAGGACAUGAGGCUGCAGAGGGAGGCAGAGCAGCAGAGGGCCCAGGAGAGAAGGAAGAACUUUGACAGCUCCCUUUUCUGCAGGUCUAGAAGCAGACCCCUGGUCAUCAUUGGCUGGGUCUCAAUUUUUGCUAGAAAAAAUGGUUAAUAAAGAUUAAACAUGUACAUAUAAAAGAAAUAUCUAAAUAAAAUCAGUUCUGCAUUAAACUCUUGAAUUUUAUUUUUGUUUACAAAUGAGAAUUGUUCAAUAUUACAGGGUAUCCGCUGGGUCUUAAAGUCUUAAAAGGUGAUAAAUCGGUUUUGGUCAAAUUAAGACCCUUAGAAAGUAUUAAAAACUAUUAUCACAUCUUUGCUCAGGCUCAGCUUGUCUAAAGUAUUUUCUCUGAAUUAGCUCUCCAACAGUCAAGGAAAUGAUUAACCCCCAGAGACCCACGGUUGUAACAUUACAACAUCAGAUUUAAGUCUACAAGAAUAAACCUUCCCCAUUUUUUUCUUUUUAAAACUACAUUUACAUUGCUAAUAGGUCCUAUUGUUCAGUUCUGCAACACUAUUGACUGUUAAAAUGUGUAAAUAGGCCCGUUUAUCUGGCCUAGAACAACAUGUGAAAGGUUAAAAAAGAUUUUGCAGUUGUUUUCUAAAUUUGGGUCUCUGGGGGUUAAAAAGCUAAAUAAAACGUCGAGCUCCAUCGUUUAAAGUUCCUUCUCCCUUCUGCCCAGCGGUUCCACGGUUGCUAGGCGACGGAACGUUCGCGGAGGGAGUUCAUGAAGGCUAGGCCUGUCCAAAUUC